GGGGAAUAUUGCACAAUGGGGGAAACCCUGAUGCAGCAACGCCGCGUGAGCGACGAAGGCCUUCGGGUUGUAAAGCUCUGUCUUCACUGACGAAAUAAUGACGGUAAGUGAGGAGGAAGCCACGGCUAACUACGUGCCAGCAGCCGCGGUAAUACGUAGGUGGCAAGCGUUGUCCGGAAUUAUUGGGCGUAAAGGGUGCGUAGGCGGUCUUUUAAGUGGGAUGUGAAAUACCUGGGCUUAACUCAGGAAUGGCAUUCCAAACUGGAAGACUAGAGUGCAGGAGAGGAAAGUGGAAUUCCCAGUGUAGCGGUGAAAUGCGUAGAGAUUGGGAGGAACACCAGUGGCGAAGGCGACUUUCUGGACUGUAACUGACGCUGAGGCACGAAAGCGUGGGGAGCAAAC
Molecule: ribosomal RNA, 402 nt
Filed under: uncultured bacterium
Lineage: Bacteria
Description: bacterial SSU rRNA
Rfam family: Bacterial small subunit ribosomal RNA
Source: RNAcentral